GACGAACGCUGGCGGCGUGCCUAAUACAUGCAAGUUGAGCGAAGCAUAGGGCUUAAGUCUUCGGAUGCGAGGCCUAUGACUUAGCGGCGAACGGGUGAGUAACGCGUGGGUAACCUGCCCUCUAGACUGGGAUAACAGCUCGAAAGGGCUGCUAAUACCGGAUAAGAUUACCGUACCGCCUGGUAUGGUAAUGAAAGUGCUUAGCGCUAGAGGAUGGACCCGCGUCCCAUUAGCUAGUUGGUGAGGUAACGGCUCACCAAGGCGACGAUGGGUAGCCGGCCUGAGAGGGUGACCGGCCACACUGGGACUGAGACACGGCCCAGACUCCUACGGGAGGCAGCAGUAGGGAAUCUUGCGCAAUGGGGGGAACCCUGACGCAGCGACGCCGCGUGAGCGACGAAGGCCUUCGGGUCGUAAAGCUCUGUCCUAUGGGAAGAUAGAGACGGUACCAUAGGAGGAAGCCCCGGCUAACUACGUG
RNAcentral lists this ribosomal RNA (478 nucleotides) under uncultured bacterium. Its description in RNAcentral is "bacterial SSU rRNA". It matches the Rfam family "Bacterial small subunit ribosomal RNA", at positions 28 to 507 of the family's 1533-position model. The record is from RNAcentral.